Molecule: unclassified non-coding RNA, 361 nt
Filed under: uncultured Hypocreales
Lineage: Eukaryota; Fungi; Ascomycota; Sordariomycetes; Hypocreales
Description: sequence contains ITS1
Rfam family: 5.8S ribosomal RNA (bases 1-105)
Source: RNAcentral
GAAAUGCGAUAAGUAAUGUGAAUUGCAGAAUUCAGUGAAUCAUCGAAUCUUUGAACGCACAUUGCGCCCGCCAGUAUUCUGGCGGGCAUGCCUGUUCGAGCGUCAUUUCAACCCUCAGGCCCCUCCGGGCGGCCUGGUGUUGGGGACCGGCGGACGGGGAUAUAGGGGCGCUUCUCUCCCGGAGAGCGCCCUGCGUCCCCCUCUUCCCGCCGCCCCCGAAAUGAAUUGGCGGUCUCGUCGCGGCCUCCUCUGCGUAGUAGCACAACCUCGCAACAGGACCGCGGCGCGGCCACUGCCGUAAAACGCACCAAACUUUUACAGAGUUGACCUCGAAUCAGGUAGGAAUACCCGCUGAACUUAA